GGGGCGGCAGGGUAGCCUAGUGGUUAGAGUGUAGAGGAGGCAGGGUAGCCUAGUGGUUAGAGUGGAGAGGUGGCAGGGUAGCCUAGUGGUUAGAGUGGAGGGGCGGCAGGGUAGCCUAGUGGUUAGAGUGGAGGGGCGGCAGGGUAGCCUAGUGGUUAGAGUGGAGGGGCGGCAGGGUAGCCUAGUGGGUAGAGUGGAGCCUAGUGGUUAGAGUGGAGGGGCGGCAGGGUAGCCUAGUGGUUAGAGUGGAGGGGCGGCAGGGUAGCCUAGUGGUUAGAGUGGAGGGGCGGCAGGGUAGCCUAGUGGUUAGAGUGGAGGGGCGGCAGGGUAGCCUAGUGGUUAGAGUGGAGGGGCGGCAGG
This is a long non-coding RNA of Oncorhynchus tshawytscha (Chinook salmon), 360 nucleotides long. Lineage: Eukaryota; Metazoa; Chordata; Actinopteri; Salmoniformes; Salmonidae. The record is from Ensembl.